GGGGAUCUAGCUCACUUGGUAGAGUAUCUGCCUUGCAUGCACAAGGCCCUGAGUUCAAUCCCCAGCACCA
RNAcentral lists this transfer RNA (70 nucleotides) under Ictidomys tridecemlineatus (thirteen-lined ground squirrel). Its description in RNAcentral is "Spermophilus tridecemlineatus (thirteen-lined ground squirrel) tRNA". It matches the Rfam family "tRNA". Rfam says of the family: Transfer RNA (tRNA) molecules are approximately 80 nucleotides in length. The record is from Rfam by way of RNAcentral. Lineage: Eukaryota; Metazoa; Chordata; Mammalia; Rodentia; Sciuridae.